Molecule: unclassified non-coding RNA, 358 nt
Filed under: uncultured Parmelia
Lineage: Eukaryota; Fungi; Ascomycota; Lecanoromycetes; Lecanorales; Parmeliaceae
Description: sequence contains ITS2
Rfam family: 5.8S ribosomal RNA (bases 1-154)
Source: RNAcentral
AACUUUUAGCAAUGGAUCACUUGGUUCUGGCAUCGAUGAAGAACGCAGCGAAAUGCGAUAAGUAAUGUGAAUUGCAGAAUUCAGUGAAUCAUCGAGUCUUUGAACGCAUAUUGCGCCCUUUGGUAUUCCGAAGGGCAUACCUGUUCGAGCGUCAUUACACCCCUCAAAGUUAACUCUUUGGCGUUGGGCAAUGCCGAAAGGCAUGCCUCAAAAUCAGCGAUGGUGAUAUUCAACCACAGGCGCACAAACGUCGUCUAGCUGGCGGGAUGUUGUCAGUCAAUUGAUGAAUUUUCUAAAUGUUGACCUCGGAUCAGGUAGGAAUACCCGCUGAACUUAAGCAUAUCAAUAAGCGGAGGCU